UAGCAGAGCAAAUUUCAACAUGCCCUUGGCCACCUGGGUUGUAGGGGACACUUUACUUUUUGCAUUGUGCUGUGACCAUUUCAUGCAUAAUCUUGGAUCUUCAUACUAUUUGACAACCAAAAGAAAGAAAAGGGAAUGGAUAUAUAUAUACACACAUAUAUUAUAUCUACAUAUACAUACAUAUGUAUAUGCCUACAGUACAUUAGCAAUGCUGGAAAUAGCUGAUGCCACAAAAUGCAGCCUGCAUGCAUGCAGAAGUUUAUAGCUGGCCCUUCAUCUGCAUCGAUUGGUGUUGAAGGUCCUUGGUAUGUUUCGACAGCCCCAUCCUUGAUGCUUCUACACUGUUGGGUGCAACAUCCUGUCCUGCAGCAGCAGGAAAAAUGAUACCCAUAAUAUCUGCCGAACAUCUGACUAGCCACAAGUAUGUUACCCAGAUGUAGAAUUUUCAUCACUAAACAAUCAUGCUAAAGAGGAAAGGACAGUGUGCUUGGUUAGAGUAAAGGACGAGGUCAUUAGCCAUAUUGUAUAUAUCGUCAAGCAACACACACAAAAGUUCCUCAGCCACAAGACAUCCACAUAUUGCAUGUUAACCAGAAGAAAAGACAACAUUUUCCGGAAAUCCACUGCACACUGUUGCCUAUACACUUUGUACAUUUAAUUGAUAUUUGUGCUGAGGUGAUAUUCCUGUCUAAAAGAACAACAUUGUCUUUCUUUUCUAGCACAGAGUUAUGCAUUCAAAGAUGCAUACCUAAUUAGUUUCCUAUAUAUUAAUGCCAUCUUGAAAAGACAGACUAUGGUGUAACCAUGAUUCUAUUAUGUAUUGGUACGUCUGUAGACCAAGAUAUAAUUUUUUAAAAAUAAGUUUAUUUCUUUCAAGGUUUACAAAUAACAAAGGUGCACCUUGUGUUUAAAAUUGCCAUUAUAGAUGAGAGCGUGCAUGCACAGUCAUUUUUGUUUAAGAGUAAUAUUUUUAAUGUAAUAGAUUGUAAGACGUGGUGAGGGAGGGAUCUGACAGAGAUGAAUGUGCCAAGCAAAACCACAACUGUGUAUAUUUUAAAGCACAUCAUGGCUUUAAGUACCAUGUUGUUAAGGAUUCUCAUGAAGUGCCAUAGACUGUACAUCAAAUUAGAGUAUUAUUUCUUCAGUGUUUGUUAUUGUUUUCAGAGCCACAUUUUGUUGCAUAUUUGCUAGUACUAAUCAGUCAAAGGGCACCAUUCUUUUUUUUUUUUUUUUGAAACCAAAGCUGUCUCAGAAAUGGCCAAUUUAACUUUACAGUAACAAUAGACAGCACAACACAAACUCUCUCAAUACAGAUAAACUCACACAUACUGGAGAUAUAUAUAUAAUAGAUAUAUAUAAAAUUA
This 1364-nucleotide long non-coding RNA is filed under the name Pan troglodytes (chimpanzee). RNAcentral's name for it is "long non-coding RNA NONPTRT011651". Lineage: Eukaryota; Metazoa; Chordata; Mammalia; Primates; Hominidae. The record is from RNAcentral.